Molecule: ribosomal RNA, 460 nt
Filed under: uncultured bacterium
Lineage: Bacteria
Description: partial 16S ribosomal RNA
Rfam family: Bacterial small subunit ribosomal RNA
Source: RNAcentral
CCUACGGGAGGCAGCAGUGAGGAAUAUUGGUCAAUGGGCGCGAGCCUGAACCAGCCAAGUAGCGUGAAGGAUGACUGCCCUACGGGUUGUAAACUUCUUUUAUAAAGGAAUAAAGUGAUGCACGUGUGCCUUUUUGUAUGUACUUUAUGAAUAAGGAUCGGCUAACUCCGUGCUAGCAGCCGCGGUAAUACGGAGGAUCCGAGCGUUAUCCGGCUUUAUUGGGUUUAAAGGGAGCGUAGAUGGGUUGUUAAGUUCGUGGUGAAAGUUUGCGGCUCAACCGUAAAAAUGCAAUUGAUACUGGAGGCCUUGAGAACAGAUGAGGUAGGCGGAAUACGUGGAGUAGCGGUGAAAUGCUUAGAUAUCACGAAGAACUCCGAUAGCGAAGGCAGCUUACUAAACUGCCACUGACAUUGAUGCACGAAAGUGUGGGUAGCAAACAGGAUUAGAUACCCCUGUAGUC